CCUACGGGAGGCAGCAGUGGGGAAUUUUCCGCAAUGGGCGAAAGCCUGACGGAGCAAUACCGCGUGAGGGAGGAAGGCUCUUGGGUCGUAAACCUCUUUUCUCAGGGAAGAAGAAAGUGACGGUACCUGAGGAAUAAGCAUCGGCUAACUCCGUGCCAGCAGCCGCGGUAAUACGGAGGAUGCAAGCGUUAUCCGGAAUGAUUGGGCGUAAAGGGUCCGCAGGUGGCUGUGUAAGUCUGCUGUUAAAGAGUCAUGCUUAACAUGAUAAGAGCAGUGGAAACUACAUAGCUAGAGUACGUUCGGGGCAGAGGGAAUUCCUGGUGUAGCGGUGAAAUGCGUAGAUAUCAGGAAGAACACCGGUGGCGAAAGCGCUCUGCUAGGCCGUAACUGACACUGAGGGACGAAAGCGUAGGGGAGCGAAUGGGAUUAGAUACCCCAGUAGUCCUAGACCGUAAACGAUGGAUACUAGGCGUGGCUCGUAUCGACCCGAGCCGUGCCGUAGCUAACGCGUUAAGUACUCCCGCCGUGGGAGUACGCNCGCAGUGUGAACUCAAUGAAUUGACGGCUGAGACGCGCGACGACGACGACGAGGGAGGAGG
Molecule: ribosomal RNA, 599 nt
Filed under: uncultured bacterium
Lineage: Bacteria
Description: bacterial SSU rRNA
Rfam family: Bacterial small subunit ribosomal RNA
Source: RNAcentral